AGAUUUUAGAGGAUUUUAUCAUAUUUUGGAUGUUGUUGGUUACUUGAGGCUUAUGUAUUUGGUGUAAUUGCUCAAAAAAGGAAAAAUUUAUAUAUAAAAUUAGGGCUUUUUUUAUUUUGAAGCUUGAUUGAAUGAUUAGUGAUAGCCAGAAGCCCAACAGUUUCUUGAGGCAAACUCUCUCUACCCUGAUACUGGAAAAUCUUGACGACCUUGAUU
RNAcentral lists this long non-coding RNA (216 nucleotides) under Physcomitrium patens. RNAcentral's name for it is "long non-coding RNA (PPAT_LNC009329)". The record is from RNAcentral. Lineage: Eukaryota; Viridiplantae; Streptophyta; Bryopsida; Funariales; Funariaceae.